This 253-nucleotide ribosomal RNA is filed under the name uncultured bacterium. RNAcentral describes it as "partial 16S ribosomal RNA". It matches the Rfam family "Bacterial small subunit ribosomal RNA", at positions 524 to 776 of the family's 1533-position model. The record is from RNAcentral.
UACAGAGGGUGCAAGCGUUAAUCGGAAUUACUGGGCGUAAAGCGCGCGUAGGUGGUUGGGUAAGUCGGUUGUGAAAUCCCCGGGCUUAACCUGGGAAUUGCAGUCGAUACUGCUCGGCUAGAGUGUGGAAGAGGGAAGCGGAAUUUCCGGUGUAGCGGUGAAAUGCGUAGAUAUCGGAAGGAACACCAGUGGCGAAGGCGGCUUCCUGGUCCAACACUGACACUGAGGCGCGAAAGCGUGGGUAGCGAACAGG